CAAAAUUCCAUUUACAUGAUGCACAACGUACCCAUACUCUACUUUGACAUUGCAUACAUUUACACAUAAACACUAACUGUGAUAGGAUUGCACACUGGUAAAAAAUAUAACAAGAAUCUAGUCAUAAAAUAGAACAUAUGUAGAUUACAAAAUAUUAAUUCAAAAGCAUACUUAAUAUACCCAUACCUAUGUGCUUGCUAAGAAGAAAGAAUUAGGAAAAGCAAAAAGUAGUAAAAAUGGGAAUGCGAUAACUUUAAAAUAUAAUAGACCAUUCUGAAGCUAUAUAGAUCUAGCUAUUAAAAUUUGAGAAUCCACACUUCUUUCGUUAGUAUAUAGCUGUCUGAUCAGUUGCAUCUACUUUCUCUCCACAAAGACCAAGAAAAUCGAUCUAUAAAUAUGAGAAUUAGCAAAGGCGUGACUAAAAAAACCUUCAAAUCAUAUGUCGAACCAUAGUAGCAUUUAAAAAAGUAGUGAAUCACCGAAUUUUGGAAAAAUCUCUUGACAUAAUAGGCGAAAAAUAAAACAAUUAAAAGUAAUUACUUGCAUAACAGUGCCUUGGUCAUUGGCCGUUUCGAUUUAUUUCUCGAAUAUUUUCCUCUAGCGAUGGUGUUUAUGAAAGACGCCGGUGGAGCUUGAAGGAAUGCAAUGAAAAAUAGAGACCUCUAGCAUGAAGGAAUUUCAAAUAGUAAUGAAGUAUGAUGGAGGUGUAUGUACUAUAAAGAGAAGAAAUAUGUGUACAUUGUAGAGAGAGAACGAAUGUGUGUG
This 765-nucleotide long non-coding RNA is filed under the name Olea europaea subsp. europaea. Lineage: Eukaryota; Viridiplantae; Streptophyta; Magnoliopsida; Lamiales; Oleaceae. The record is from RNAcentral.